ACAGCUGCAGAUCUCUGUGGACAAGGGAGAGUGCUUGGAACUCUGUUGGAUGAUAGUUUUCUCAGGGGGAAAAGCAGGAUCCAUUUGACCAUUAGUGCAAUUCACUUUAGGGCUCUCUCUGGAACAGUGCAUCUAGUUUUGCAAUCGUAUUUCAGAAAAAUCACCUUUAAGCUUUGAUCAUAAUUAAUUAAUCAAUUAUGAUGAAUGUUGAUGGUGAUUUAGUAAAAGUGGAAUGAUGACUUAGGGCCCCCCCAGGGCUGAGGUUUCUAACGAACCUAGGCUCUGCCUCCACUGUCUGGCCCCUCCUUGGCUGAUCUUCCCGGGCCUCAGUUUCAUCUUAAGAAUGAGGAUAAUAUCGAGGACAUUGCUGGCUGUCAUGUGGAUUAAGUGAGAUUGAUAAAGGUAAAACGCACACACAACGCCUGGCUGGAAGGUACACAAUGAGUGUUCACUAAAUCAGAAUUGGAAACAUGCUGUCUUGUGCUCCUGAGAGAGAUACUCCUUCAUGGUCUGCAAAGCCAGACUUUGAAAUCCAGGGCAGUUGAGGCAAUGAUGCCAAAGGAAACCAGAUCACGCCACUCUUCAGCCUAAAAUCUCCUCCUCUUAGAUGGAGACGCGAUCCUGCUCCUGCCUGGCACUCCAACAUCUUUCGCUGCUGUCUUGCUUCCAUUUUUAUUAUGACAAUUUCACAUGGAAAAGUUGAAAGAAUAGUACAGUGGACACACUUAUACUCUCCACCUAGAAUCAACAGUUGCUAAUAUUUUGCCAUGUGUGCUUUAUAAGUUGCAGAAACAUUUGAGAGGUGGUUGCAGACAUGAUGACACAUUACCCCUCAGGACUUGGGCAGGCAUCUCCUAAGAAUCAGUUGUUUUCCCAGGUGACCUCCCUAUUAUUAUCACACCAAAGGAAAGGAACAGUAAUUCCGUAAUCACUCCCUUGCUCACAGAGACACAAAGGUAUCUUUCACUUUGUUCCUCAAGCCUUUUCCUGCCUCAGGGCCUUUGCACUUUCUGUGGCCUCUCCCUGGCAUCUCUCUCCCCAGAUUGUGCUCCAAAAACUCUUUCUCAUUACUUGGGUUUCAGCAUAAUGUCACCCCUUGGGAGAGUUUGUCCCUGUCUGUUUCACCUAAAAAUGCUUCCCAAUCACUCUAUCCUCCCUCCCCAUUUUAGCGUCUUCCUAUGACAUACCACUAUCUGAAAUUCUGGUUUUAUUUUCUGUCUGUGACUGCGGUCUAUGUCCCCCUCCCCACUCCCCACCCACACUACCUGCAGGAGAGCAGGGGCCGUGGCCAUUUGUUCACUGUUGUAGCUGCAGUGCCCAGAACACUGUCUUGCAUGGAGUAGACACUCGACAGAUAUUUGUUAAAUGAAGGAAUGAAUAUCCCAUAUGUGAUGUUUUCAAACAGAAGAGGUGGUAAAAUGGAGGGACUGGACCCUAGUUUUUAGAGAUAAAUCCACACAGCUUCAAUCCCAGUGCUACCACGCACCAACUGUGUGUUACUGUGGGCCUGUGUUCCUUAAACUCACCUGCCAAAUAGGGACAAUGACAAUCAUCUCUCCACCUUCUAGGACUGUUGCGAGUUAUUAAUGAGCUUAUAUACCAAGAGCGUAGAACAGAAUCUGGCAUCUAACGCCAACCUUUCAUAAGCACUUACGAUUAAUGUUGAAUAGGCUGGCCAGAGGCCCAUGAUUUUAAGCACCACUGGCUGUUCACAGGCUCACACAGAAACUGUCUCCAAGCACAAUGCCCCUGGGAGAACUUCUUGGAAGUGCUGAUGCUGCCCUGUGUGAGACCAGCUAGGUCAACAUUUGCCUGGAAAAAGCUCUGGUUGUUUACAGCAGGCAUCUGGGCUGAUGAGUCAGGGCCUGUGGUUAGACAUUUUGAUUCUCACCCCUGAGACCAGCCCUUGGAAGCUCACACAGGAGCCGAGGCAGGGAACCUGGAGAGAAGAGGACAAACAGAGACUUCCCUCUGCUAAAUGAGAGUGAAUCCGCUGGCAAAGGUCUGACUCUGCGGAUUCCCUCCCACUCCACUCUGACAUCUUGACAUCUCCACCUGGAUGUUUUGAAGGCAACUCAAGCCAGUGUGCCUGGGUCUGAACUCCUGACCUUCCUUCCCAAACCUGCUCCUCCUGCUGUGUUUGCCUUUGGAGUGACUGCCACUUCUAUCCAUUAUAAGUCAGAAAUCACCUCCUCCUCAAUCUCCUUCCCUGGCUUAAUCCAUUUCAAAUUCCUUGUGAUUGUCCUUCCUAAAUACCUGCCAAGGGCGGCCACCCCUCCAGUCACCUCUGACAACUGCAGUGGUACCCGACCCAGCUCCCUGUGCAGACCAGGGCACCGCCCACAUCCACGUUUCACGACAGGAGCCAGAGUGAGCUUUUCCAACUGCAGAUCUGAUUGAUUUCAUUCUAGUUUCACUGUCAGCAAUCAAUGCCAUAUGAAAAUAUUUCACAGAAAAAUCCAACCCCUCCCAUUAUAAAUUGCCAUGCAGGCUUCUUCUGGGUUGAUUUCUCAUCUAGUUAUAAGGGCCAAGCUGUCUUCUGGGUCUCUUUGGACUGAGUCUCUCAGGUUUGGGGUCUGACCUUGAGGGUGGGUGGGACAGAUGUCACUGAUGGUUGAUGCCUUAGUUUGGGUUGUCCCAGGUGCAGAUUCCGAGACAAGAAUUUGAGAGCAAGUAGUUUAUUUGAGAGGUGACCUCAGGAAGCUCUGGCAGGGCUUUAGGAAGCGCAACAGGAAAGGGAGGAGGCCAAUUCAGGGCGUAGUAUUCAGCCAGCUGGUGCAGAGGACAGCUGGAGUUCAGUCCCAUGGAGAAAUCACACACAAUAGAGGAAUCCCAGGAGCGAGGGACAGGCGGUAUUUAUACACCAACUCCUAUGAGUUAUUACUUGGGGGUUGUUGGAGGUGAGUGUUAAUCCCCUGGCACCUCCCACCUGCCACAGGUGUGGGUAGAGUGGACUGCUGAGGUCAUGGACAAAAGCCUGCAGGCAAAAAGAAGAAGAUAUUGGCAGUUAGAAGUGGCUCUGAGCCUGCUGGAGGGUUCCAGGGCUAUGUGGAGGGCACGAACAGCAUCUGCUCCCCUGGGGAUGAUGACAGGUGACACUGGGUGACUCAGAUCUUCUUGCCAUAACAUGGAGACACAUGGUUAGAAAGCCAGUCCAUUGUCUCAAGGAGAAGAGUCCCAGUUUGGUGCUAAUAAUCUUAACACCUUUCCAACACUGUUCAUCUCCAUCUGGAACCAAGAAAGAGCCAGCCUUGGGCCUAGUGUCUUUGGUAGGCCGUCGUAUGUACCUACCUGCAAUUGAUGAUGUUGCUUUGGUUUCUACUUAAUGUUUUCCAAUAAACUUAAGCAUAUAAAGUUUGCUGUUGAAAUAAAUUUAUAUAGUUAAAAAAUAAAUUGAUCUUUAAAGUGUUCAAUGCCAUCCCAGGCUGCCCUCCAUGAGACAGGUGGCAGGCAAUGCCUAAAUCAAGGGGACAUAGUGCACGCUCUGCCAUGGGCAUCUCAGGCCUCUGCCCUCUGGGUUCCAGCCCCUCUCUAACCUGGUUCUCACUUCUCCCUGUCCACUCUAUCCACCAAAGCCGCCUUCUCGCUCCCACUAAGUACGUUCUUGGCUCUGGCUUUGUUCCCACCCCACCCCUCUUCCCUCCUUUCUUUUCAAUGUCCUGCUCAUGCUCGGAGGCCUGACUCCAACACCACCCCCCCCACCCCACCUGAGUCCCCGACCACCCCCUGCAACACACUCCCAGUGGGAGCUGAGGGCUUCCUGCUGGGGCCACCCCCACUCCAGGAUUAUUUCAUGCUGGUGCUCUGCUAUUGACUGUUGACAGGUGGGUCCCCCACCAGCCCCGGUGCUUUGUGGGAACAGAGUCCUGGCCCUCUCUGAGCCUGGCCUGGUGCUGUCUCAGAAGAGCCCAUGGUCUGUGCUGAGCCAGUGCAAGAGCAGAGUGGACCGCAGCUUCCUCCUCCACGGCACUCCCGAAGCCCCUCGGGUGACUCCGGCCAACCAGGUGUUCCAGCAGAGAGAAGGAGGAUUAUGGGUGUGACUGUGGCCCUUGUCCUUCCACGGCUCAGGCCGCACUGUGGGAGCUGGUCGCCUUUUAGCCUUUUAGCACUGGUCCAUCCGUUUCUUUCCAUUGCCCCGUGGAGUCUGUGGCCUUUUCUCCGGGUUCUGACUGAGACCAGAGUCCAGCCUGCCUGGGGGCAGUUGUACACUGCCUUGAGUGCCUGGUGACAGGGUGACAGCACUGCCAGCGUCUCUGGGUUGGGUUUGGGGAGGCACCAGAGGCCUGAGCAGACGGCUGGGGUUGGUUAUGGCUGCUGGGAAGGGCACAAAGCCAGGAGUGGGUGGGGCAGGGAGACCAUGAGGAGCCUGUGCAGCCCGUUUUGUCUCAGCAGAGGGGCGAGUCCCAGUAGCUUCCCCGGGCCAGGGCGUCAGCUGAGUCCUGGCAGUGCAGGCAGCCCCCAAGCUGGGCAUCUGGGCAGCAGGGAGGGGGGGGAGCUUCAGGGAGGACGCGGUGGGUAGCACGUGUCUCAGGGGACACGUGUGCGUGUGAGAGGGUGACAGUGUGUGUAUAUGUGCGCCUAUGAAUGUGUAUGUGACUGUGUGCGUGAGAGUGAGGGUGUAUGUGAGUCUGUACAUGUGUGAAUGUGUGUAUGUGUGUAUGUGAGUGUAUGAGCCUGUGUGUAUGUAUGCAUGUGUGUGUGAAUGUAUGUGUGAGUGUAGGUGUGUUGGGGCCUGUGUGCGUGUAUGUGUGCGUGAAUGUGUGUAAGUGUAGGUGUAUGUGAACCUGUGUAUGUGUGUGAGCCUGUAUAUGUGAGCAUGAGCCUGUGUGUAUGUGUGUGUGUGUAUGAGUCUGUGUGUGUAUGUGUGAGACUGUAUGAGUGUGUGAGCCUGUGUGUAAGAAUGUAUGUAUGUGUGUGUGAGAGUGUGUAUGUUGGGCGUGAGAGUGUGCGCAUGUGUGGGAGACAGAGUGUCUGGAGGAGGCAGACAGUGGGAUAUGGGAGCAGAGAGAGCAAGGCGACCUCCAAGGAGAAACGGUGUCUGGGCGACCCUGAGAGCCUGAGAUGUGGCCUGGGGGUUACCAUGGACGGAAGGGAAGUAGGGGGGUCAGGACGACUCACGCUCUGGUCCUUGUCACUAAAAGUCAGAGCAGCUGAAACUCACCAAGCAUCACUCACAUCAGACACUGGUCUAAGCACCUUACAUGCAUUCUCUAUAUUUUUAUUUAACAAAUACUUACAUCGAGCUUGCCGUGUGGAGGCACUGCUCUAGUUGAUUUACAAAACGAAACAAGAAGCGUCGAAAACACAUCGAAUCAACAAAACACCAUCGUGAAUUCUCGCAACUGCCCUGUGUGGGAGGCACUGCCGCUACCUCCAUCUGCAGAGGGGUAGGGGAGCCUGGGAGCUGGUGGGCGGAGGGCCGGGUGGGGUGGAACUGGCAUCUGCCUCCAGGGCUGGGCUCCUCCCAUUGCUGAUGCCUGGGUUUCACUGUGCUCGUAAAAGCCACGGGUCAAUUAUGCUUAUUACCUGUUCUGCAGGUGAGAAAACGAGGCACACAGGGGUGAGCAAUUCGCUCAGCUUGAAAGUGGUAGAACCAGGACCCAGCCCAGGCCAUGGCUCGGGACCCACUCUGUAAUCACUCACUGGGGGCCCCGCAGUAAUGAGCUCUUUGAAGAAAGGUGAGUCACUGACCUUGGCUGUGCCUCAGUUUCUUCAUUUGCCAAGUGGGGCUCUGCUGCCCCUGCCUCUGCCCUGCUGACUUGCAAGAAGAGUGAACGAAUGGAAUUGGAUGAAGGCUUCCGGAAACUUCCAUCAGGAAAGCGCCCUGGCCUGGGAGAAAGCCGGUCCUGGCCGGCUUUGCCUGCAAUGCCCUCAGUGGCCAGUCACGUCCCCUCCUUGGCCUGCAGGUUCCUCACUGGAGCGGGGGUGGCCCGAGAUGAACCCUCAGAUGCACCAAGCCCCACACCUUGAUUGUCCAGCUCUGUCCUGAUGGACAGGGGAGCUGCCUGCGGUGACUGUCCAGGAACUGGGUGUCUGGAGACGGGCAGACCCAACCAUUUGAGGCUCGUUCUAGGAAGUGUGUUCAGUGUGGCCAAGCUUGGUGACUCUGGGGCUUCUGGAAUGGUUCCCAUGCCAGAGAAUUACAAAAAGAUCCUUUGUACUGAGAAGAGAAAGUACAACUUAUUCUCUUAGGGACACCUUCCUGGAGGGACACCAGACAAGAAGUCCAGGCCCUGGAAUCAGAUGCCCUGGGCCAGGCAGCUUCUGUCUCCCCGAGUUCUCUGCGGAGGCAGCACUCUCAGAAGAUUCCACGGUUUAAUCACACUCCAGCUCUUUUCAGAGCACCUUCUACGUGCCAGGCAUGCUCUAGGCACCAGCGAUGCAACUGUGGAUGAAAAAGACCAAGGCCCUGUUCUCGGGGAGCUGGCGGGGUGGGAGGGGCAGUGAAAAACAAGUACAGCCUGCCCCCGCAAGUACAGUCACAUAGACAUAUGUGUGUAUGUGUGCACAUAUACUUGAAAUAUCAAGUGGCUGGAGGGUUUACUUUAGACUGGGGGAUGUGGAAGUCCUCUCUGAGAUGCGCCCCCUUUGAUCAGAGGCCUGAAGGAAUUAAAUGAGUCUUCCAUGUGCACAUCCAGGGGAGGAAGUUUCCAGGCAGAUGGACCCGCAUGUGCAAAGGCCCUGUGGUGGAGUGUGCUGGGGGUGUUCUAGGAGGGUCAGCAUGGAGGGAACAAGGAGAAGAGCUCGAGCUGAGGUUAUGGAGGGCCUCAUGGGUCAUGGCAAAGACAUCUGGGUCAUAUUCUGAGAUAGAUGGGGUGGGGUUUGGCACAGAGGACUUUAUGUAUUUUGCCUUAAUAUUUUAAAAGGAUCCCUCUGGCUGCCUGUGAGCAUGGAUUGUGCAGGAUCAAUGCAGGGAGUCGAUGUAGGGAGACCAGCAAGGAGGUGAUUGCCACAGUCAAGAAGGGAUGAUGGACGCCCAGGCCUCCGUAUUCGGAGCGGUGUGGCCAGGCGAUAGCAUGGUAGCCAUCAUCACAAGCUAAAGCCAGCAGGUUUGGUAGAUGGUUGGGAUAUGGAGGAAUAAGAGAAAGAGAAGGGUUAUGCUGACUCUAAGAUUUGGCCUAAUCGCCAGAAGGUUGUAGGUGCCUUUUUUUUUUUUUUUUUAAAUGGGAGUGACCGGCUUGGAGGGAAGAUAAGGGGCAUCAGAAACCUGCACAAACCUGCAGGAGUGUGCACUGUGUGACCCUGAUGCCCAAAGGUGACCCUGGGGCCAAGCAGUGUCUCCACCCUUAGUCUCUGGGGCCCCUGCCCACCUGCAGAAGGGACCCUAAACACUAACCUUUGAUUUAAAUCCAAAACAUUCUUCCCUAACGUAAAGUUGCCCAGGGCAGUAUUGGUUUCUCUUUUAAAGACGCCACCUGGAUUCUAUUCUAAUGGUGGGGGUGCAUAUCUAGAAAGGAUGGGCAGCCCCUGCGGGGAAAGAAUGAAUGGGGCCAGGUGCAGUGGCUCACACCUGUAAUCCCAGCACUUUGGGAGGCCGAGGUGGGUGGAUCACUUGAGGUCAAGAGUUCGAGACCAGCCUGGCCAACAUGGUGAAACCCUGUCUCUACUAAAAAAAUACAAAAAUUAGCUGGGUGUGGUGGCACGCGCCCAUAGUCCCAGAUACUUGGGAGGCUGAGGCAUGAGAUUUGCUUGAACCUGGGAGUCAGAGGUUGCCGUUGUGGUAGGAGUUAUUAAGAAAUUAUUUUAGGCAGAUAGAAAGGAAAAGGGGUCCUUGGGAAGUUUUCGUUUGUUAAAGCAUCUCCGGAAGUUUCUGUAAAGCCCGGGCUCUUAGAGCCAGGCGGGCAACCUUUGAUAUGCAAAUGCCAGCCAUUAGAAACUGGGUCGCGAGCCUUCUUGCCCUUUCCCGACCUGUUCCUGGCAACAUGGCCGCCCCCACAUAUCCCCACGUGUGUAGAACAUUGUGGCGCCCUGUAUUUGCAUAUUAAAAGACUAGGGUGGGAGGGCCAGCUUUUUCAUGGGCUACCAUGAAUGACAUGCCUGGUCAAACCAAUCCCCUGAGCCCUAUGCAAAUCAGACACCGCCCCCUCCAGCCUCUGUAUAUAUACCUGGCUGGUAUCCAUGGCAGGUGGGGACCUCCUCUUUCGGCUUUGGAGCCCCCAUUCCUCUGCCUCUGUACAAGGGAGCUUCUUCCUUCUCCCUUCCUUCUUGCCUAUUAAACACUCCGCUCCUUAAAACCGCUCCAUGUGUGUCCGUGUCAUCUUACCUAAUUUGACAUGAGACAAGAACCCUCCUCCCCUCAUCAGAACUGUAUCACAGUGAGCCAAGAGGGAGCCACUGCACUCCAGUCUGGGUGACAGAGUGAACGUUCAUCUCAAAAAAAAAAAAAAAAAAAAGAAUUAAUGGAAGAAGCCCGGCCUGGUGGCUCACACCUGUAAUCCCAGCACUUUGGGAGGCUGAGGUGGUGGAUCACUUGAGGUAAGGAGUUCAAGACAAGGCUGGCCAACAUAGUGAAACUCUGUCUUUACUAAAAAUACAAAAAUUAGCCGGGCUACUCGGGAGGAAGGCUGAGGGAGGAGAAUGGCUUGAACCAGGGAGGCAGAGGUUGCAGUGAGCCGAGAUCGCACCACUGCACUCCAUCCUGGGUGACAUAGUGAGACUCUGUCUCAACAACAACAACAACAACAACAACAACAACAACAACAACAACAAGAAUGAAUGGAAGAAGAUUCCAUGAGUACCCAGAGUGCUGCAGUCCCAUGCACGAGAUUUAACGUGGCUGCCACCUGUCCAGAUGGGUUUGUGGGAAAGCACUACAUCUGUUUAAGGGAGUUUGAAUGUUAAAGAGGGAUGUUCAUCGCAGAAAGGAAAUUACUGAGUCUGCAAAUAUCAUCAAGUGGGAGAAAGACGGAUGGGACAUUUAUGGACAUGUAGUUUGUCCCAGUGAAAUAAAGCAUCUUCAAACCUGUCUUUACUGGCAUAGAAGUACUGCAGUGUCACCUAACAGAGCAGUUUACAUCACAGUGGUGAGUUUCUGAAAAACAAAAAACAAAAGAGUGCUUUCCACCCAUCUAUCCAGCUUUCUAAAGCAACCGCAAUAAAAUAUGUUUUUGUGCGAUGGAAUUUACAAAGCACCUACUAAUCGCAGAACCCUGGGCUAAGGAGAAGAGUGAAGAAACAGAGCUCAUCCUCAGUGGGCCCAUGGCUGGUGGGAGAAACACACGGACAUAAAUGGCACGCAGGAUGCAGUGGGUUGGUGCGGUGAGAAAGGUCGCAGGGUCCAGAGAACGGAGAGGGUCAGAGAAGUCUUUUUAGGAGGGAUUGUAUGUGAGUCAGCUUGCUAUUGGCUGCAAGUGACUGAAACCCCUAAUGAAUCUGGCUUACGCAGUGAGGGAGUAUGUUAUCUCCCAUAACAGAGGUGGACUUCAGGGUGGGUUGAUUCAGUGGCUCUGCAACACCACCAGUCUCCCUCGCCUGUUGUGGGAUGUCACAAUGUGGCUGCCACCAGCAACUGGCACAUGUCUUCUUGUCCAGGUGAAGCAGGAAAUUUUACCCGACCCCUUCACAGGUGGGACCUGGAGUAUCGGAAGCUGGAGCUACCCGGCCACUUCGGUGCCAGCAGGGCAAACUCCACUCACUGUUGUGCUCAACCCCUUGUGGGAGGGAGCAUGUAGAUGAGCGGGUUCAGGAGCUGCGGCGAGUGCCUUUGGGCGCUGGCAGGAGCAAACUCUGUGCUGGCCCCACAGCAGCGUCUAAGGGAGGGGGG
Molecule: long non-coding RNA, 9763 nt
Filed under: Homo sapiens (human)
Lineage: Eukaryota; Metazoa; Chordata; Mammalia; Primates; Hominidae
Description: HSALNT0401344
Source: RNAcentral